Molecule: transfer RNA, 71 nt
Filed under: Bacteroidales bacterium
Lineage: Bacteria; Pseudomonadati; Bacteroidota; Bacteroidia; Bacteroidales
Description: tRNA-Gln
Rfam family: tRNA
About the family: Transfer RNA (tRNA) molecules are approximately 80 nucleotides in length. Their secondary structure includes four short double-helical elements and three loops (D, anti-codon, and T loops).
Source: RNAcentral
UGCCCAGUUGUGUAAUGGUAGCACUCCAGAUUCUGGCUCUGUCAGUGAGGGUUCGAGUCCUUCCUGGGCAA